UCCGGACGAAGUCUUCCUGCAAUUAAAGUCAGGGGCGAAGUCCGGCUCCCGUAGGAGUCCGGACGAAGCUUACCAGCAGUUGAAGUCGCGGACGAAGUCCAGCUCCCGUAGGAGUCCGGACGAAGUCCACCUGCAGUAGAAGUCGGGGACGAAGUCCGGCUCCCGUAGGAGCUCGGGUGGUGCAAUGGGAGUUCGUCCGUCGGAGGAGUACUGUGGAAAUCCGGCUGUUGGAGAAGUCCGGGGAGAUACCAUCUGCAAUCGAAGGUCGGAGGAGUCCUGCGAGGGUCAAUCCUGUUAAGAACUUCGGCUGAGGGUAUUUUAUACCCAACAAUAUCUAUAUUCUUUUUUCUUUGAUAGAUAUAGAUAUUAGUCGGAUGCUCAAAUUUCUCAUUAUAUCUUGAAAGAUUCGAAUAUGAAAAUGAAUUUGGAUGGAC
RNAcentral lists this long non-coding RNA (434 nucleotides) under Elaeis guineensis (African oil palm). RNAcentral describes it as "long non-coding RNA (EGUI_LNC038037)". The record is from RNAcentral. Lineage: Eukaryota; Viridiplantae; Streptophyta; Magnoliopsida; Arecales; Arecaceae.